GGCUUUAUAGUCAAAAUUUAAUGAUAUUAAAUUGCAAAUUUAAAGUUAAGAAUUAAUUCUUUAAAGCUU
This 69-nucleotide transfer RNA is filed under the name Dalcantha dilatata. RNAcentral describes it as "tRNA-Cys". Lineage: Eukaryota; Metazoa; Arthropoda; Insecta; Hemiptera; Tessaratomidae. The record is from RNAcentral.